RNAcentral lists this ribosomal RNA (442 nucleotides) under uncultured bacterium. Its description in RNAcentral is "partial 16S ribosomal RNA". It matches the Rfam family "Bacterial small subunit ribosomal RNA", at positions 338 to 795 of the family's 1533-position model. The record is from RNAcentral.
CCUACGGGUGGCAGCAGUGGGGGAUAUUGGGCAAUGGAGGCAACUCUGACCCAGCAAUGCCGCGUGAAUGAAGAAGGUCUUCGGAUUGUAAAGUUCUUUAAUCAGGGACGAAGAAGAUGACGGUACCUGAGGAAUAAGCCACGGCAAACUCCGUGCCAGCAGUCGCGGUAAUACGGAGGAUGCGAGGGUUAUCCGGAUUUAUUGGGUUUAAAGGGUGCGUAGGCGGAAUGCCAAGUCAGCGGUAAAAUGGCGGGGCUCAACCUCGCUUCGCCGUUGAAACUGGCGUUCUUGAGUGGGCGAGAAGUAGGCGGAAUGCGUGGUGUAGCGGUGAAAUGCAUAGAUAUCACGCAGAACUCCGAUUGCGGAGGCAGCAUACCGGCGCCCAACUGACGCUGAGGCACGAAAGCGUGGGUAUCGAACAGGAUUAGAUACCCCAGUAGUC